Molecule: long non-coding RNA, 332 nt
Organism: Culex quinquefasciatus (southern house mosquito)
Lineage: Eukaryota; Metazoa; Arthropoda; Insecta; Diptera; Culicidae
Exons: 3
Source: RefSeq, a predicted model, not a curated record
UUAUCGUCGACGCAAACAGUUUGACAGUUCUCUUCAGUUGAUCUUGUUCGGACUUGAUCAAAUCAGAAAAACAAUAUUGUUGUAAAGGUUCGUGAGGAUUUUGGCUGGUUGAUUGAUUUCCUGAUUUCAGCCUUCGCGACGGUGGAAGAGAACGUGAAACAUCGUUAACCCGGCGGAUCAUGCCGGAAGAUGGGACGGGAAGGAACCGGUCUGCGAUCGAAAGCGGAUUGGGAUCUGUAUCAAACAGUCUCCAAACAGGACAAUGAAAGUGUUGAUGGUGUUUGAUUUUUAGAGAAUGUCAAAAUCGCCAUUACUAAUACUAAGACCUGGAA